GAACAAGCACAGAUAUAGCCAGCGCAUUCCUCCCAUUCUCAGCCUGAUCAGCACCGCUCAGGAGCAGCCGCCAGAAAGAAGUUUUAGACCCCCGGCUGCGGGAUUGGAUACAACUUCCUUUGAGUGCCUCACUGGGAAGAACGCAG
RNAcentral lists this unclassified non-coding RNA (146 nucleotides) under fungal sp. Its description in RNAcentral is "partial internal transcribed spacer region". The record is from RNAcentral. Lineage: Eukaryota; Fungi.